This 465-nucleotide ribosomal RNA is filed under the name Segatella oris. RNAcentral describes it as "bacterial SSU rRNA". It matches the Rfam family "Bacterial small subunit ribosomal RNA", at positions 28 to 482 of the family's 1533-position model. Lineage: Bacteria; Pseudomonadati; Bacteroidota; Bacteroidia; Bacteroidales; Prevotellaceae. The record is from RNAcentral.
GAUGAACGCUGGCUACAGGCUUAACACAUGCAAGUCGAGGGGAAACGACGGGGAAGCUUGCUUCCCCGGGCGUCGACCGGCGCACGGGUGAGUAACGCGUAUCCAACCUGCCUCUGACUGAGGGAUAACCCGUCGAAAGUCGGCCUAAUACCUCAUGGCAUCGUCUGCGGGCAUCCAACGACGAUUAAAGAUUUCAUCGGUCAGGGAUGGGGAUGCGUCUGAUUAGCUUGUUGGCGGGGUAACGGCCCACCAAGGCGACGAUCAGUAGGGGUUCUGAGAGGAAGGUCCCCCACAUUGGAACUGAGACACGGUCCAAACUCCUACGGGAGGCAGCAGUGAGGAAUAUUGGUCAAUGGGCGAGAGCCUGAACCAGCCAAGUAGCGUGCAGGAUGACGGCCCUAUGGGUUGUAAACUGCUUUUAUGCGGGGAUAAAGUGAGGGACGUGUCCUUCAUUGCAGUACCGCA